Long non-coding RNA from Patella vulgata (common limpet), 471 nucleotides. RefSeq lists it as uncharacterized. The record is from RefSeq and is a predicted model, not a curated record. NCBI's taxonomy places the organism in Eukaryota, Metazoa, Mollusca, Gastropoda, Patellidae. The transcript is spliced from 3 exons.
GUGUAAUUUUAAAGAAAGAGUGUGAUGCUGGCCAAGAUAUUUUAGUGGUUUGCAAUUAGUUUUGGUACGAAAAUAAUACUAAAACAGAAACAGAAAAUGACCCAAGGCUACACUGUGUUGUUGUUGCAGAGUCAAAAUGCCUUCCGAGAUGGUCGAAAAACAAACGAGAACUGCUCAAGAUGGUAACAGUGGGACUAUUUAUUGAAGUCUAUUUUCUCGUCAAACUUUAAUACCAGAUUGGAAAUUACAGACAUAGUUUUAUAUACCACGUUAUGAUUGUAAAAUCACCAUCCAAUUGGGAUAACAAAUUGGUACCCAAGAUCAACUUGGACUGAUUUGUGACUCCCCUGAGUGACAUCCCCAACCCAACUCUAUACAUAAUGAAUGAUUUUUUCUCUUCUCACUGGUGUGAGAUAUUGGCAAUCUUGCGACAUUGGUCCAAUAGUCAUUACAUCACAAUACAAAAUGAUU